CGGGUGAACAACAUAUCUCGAAGUGUGUGCCUCAUCAAGUAUUUUUUUCGCAAUCUCAACAUUAGGAAUGCACAACCUACCCUGAUAUCUUAGAAUACCAUCACCACCAAUGUCAAAUAAUUACCUUUUAUUGACCUACAUUUUUCUUGAUUUGCAUUAAGAUGGGAUCUUCAAUCUUCUUUUCUUUAACUUCUGCACAAAGGGGCGACUUAGAUAUCUCAUGAACAAUCACCCCUCC
RNAcentral lists this long non-coding RNA (238 nucleotides) under Capsicum annuum. RNAcentral describes it as "long non-coding RNA (CANN_LNC018327)". Lineage: Eukaryota; Viridiplantae; Streptophyta; Magnoliopsida; Solanales; Solanaceae. The record is from RNAcentral.